Molecule: long non-coding RNA, 1802 nt
Organism: Haemorhous mexicanus (house finch)
Lineage: Eukaryota; Metazoa; Chordata; Aves; Passeriformes; Fringillidae
Exons: 5
Source: RefSeq, a predicted model, not a curated record
UUCCAGAUCCCAGUGAAGUCACCUCAGUUACUGGUUGCUAAAUUGAUUACUGGCUGUUGCAUCAAAGCCCUUUCUUUUACUUUUAAUAAAAUUUGUUUCACCAGGGAAAAAGUAAGAAAAGCAAGGCAGUUUGCAAUGAUCACACAGGGUUUGUGAGAGCCAGGCUGGGCAGGGACUGAGGUGGCCACAGGCUGUGGCAUCCUGGCUAGGAUUUUGCCUCCUGACAGCAAACUGUGACUCCCCAGUGUUUUUUCUUAGUGAAGAGAGGAGUUUGCCAGGACAAAGCAAAGGCUGAGGAGCCCAGCUCCUGACACAGAAGAGAAGAAGUGCUGUGCUGACCAUGCAUGAGGAAGCCAAUCUUGUUGCUAAUGGAUACAGGAUAAAGUGUGAGGUGAUAUUUGUUCAGCUGAGUCACUUGCAGCCAGAGGUUUCUGGAGGGAUGCUGACAGCAGCUGAUGAACAUUUGGCAGAGCUCAAGAACAGAAGAGGUGACAAAGGUGACAAUCUCCUUUCCACCUGGCUGGGGCCAGCUCAGGUGCACCACCUGCCAGCAGCUCCAGGACAGGCAGCCCCUCCUUGGCUUUGGAUUCAUCUGGACUUGAAAGGAGAUGCGAAGAGCUGUCUGUACUCCAGCCUUUCUUCAGGAUGAAGCUUUUCUUUGCAUUUUGUUAUUUUAGACUCCUUUAGGUUAAUAAAUUUCAGCUCCAUCAGCUUUUCAAGCCAUCAGGAAUUCUAGCACAAGUAUAUCCAGUGCAUAUUGAGUCAUUUGGAAACAAGUGCCCACAGGAAAUCUAUUUAAGCACUGGAACUAUCUUUCAUAAAGCAAAUAUUGCCAUCAACUUCACCACCAGGUUGGACUGGGCUGUGAGCUUGCUCUCUCAUUAUCUACAUGAAUUUCAAAAAUAUGUCUAAUUGCUUAAAAGUCAAUGGGAUCUGCUUUUCCAAGUUACCCCAGGGCUUUUGAAAAUUCCUCUUCAUGAGGAAUGAAACCAGAAGUCAAACCUGCCUUCCACAAGUGACCACUUUCUGUGCCUCUCCUUGCUACCUCCUCUUUCACAGCUUGUUGGAUUCCUGCAGAGUCACAAUUUAAUGUAUGAACUCCUGAGCUCUGCAGAACAGACCCUGCAAUCCCUGAGCCCACAACUUCUGAUGGGUCUUUUGCUCCUCCUCUUCCUCCUCCUCCUCCCCCAUCCCAGCCAAAGGACAGCAGUUGCCUUGCAGUCCCCCAGAGUUUUUGCUUUUGUGGAGUAAAAAAUGACCCUCUCCCCAUGCCUCCUGCAGACUGCUUGUUUGCAUCAAGGUAAACAUUUAAAUGUCACCUAAAUGUAAAAAUAGGUAGGAGGCACAUUAAAGGAACUUCAUCUCCACUUCACAUCAACACCACCAAACACAUUGUUACAAGAGUGACUAAAACUGUCUAAUAACAUCAUCAGUGGCAACUGGUCAGUAAAAAUGUUUUUUAAUUGUGACUUGACUGUGUUUAUCAACCUCUUUUUGUGACAUUAAAAAGACAGCAAGAGAAACACAUGGAGACAUUGUCCUCGAGGGAAAGGAUUAAUCAUCAGUGAGUGAGCAGGCCUAAGCAGAUGGUCAGCUAUGCUUUCCUGAAGUCAUUUCUUCUAUCCACCAUUCAGUGUCACUGCCAGAAAUAAGGAGAAGUGUUAUCUUGACAUUGAACAUCUUUAUAAUAAAAUCACUAAUUGGUGUCUAAUACCAAAGGCUUUAUAGCUGCAAAACUGCAGCGGAGGUAGCUGAGUGGUUGACUGGGUUUCAUUUUAAUAAAUGCUGUUUUCCAAACCCUU